CAGCAGCCGCGGGAAUACGGAGGGGGCUAGCGUUGUUCGGAAUUACUGGGCGUAAAGCGCACGUAGGCGGCUUGGUAAGUUAGAAGUGAAAGCCUGGAGCUCAACUCCAGAAUUGCCUUUAAGACUGCCGAGCUAGCAGGUGAGAGAGGUAAGUGGAAUUCCGAGUGUAGAGGUGAAAUUCGUAGAUAUUCGGAGGAACACCAGUGGCGAAGGCGGCUCACUGGUCCAUUACUGACGCUGAGGUGCGAAAGCGUGGGGAGCAAACAGGAUUAGAUACCCCCGUAGUCCCUGUCUCUUAUAA
Molecule: ribosomal RNA, 301 nt
Filed under: uncultured bacterium
Lineage: Bacteria
Description: partial 16S ribosomal RNA
Rfam family: Bacterial small subunit ribosomal RNA
Source: RNAcentral